UCGUGAGAUGUUGGGUUAAGUCCCGUAACGAGCGCAACCCUUGUCCUUAGUUACCAGCACGUUAUGGUGGGCACUCUAAGGAGGACUGCCGGGUGACAAACCGGAGGAAGGUGGGGAUGACGUCAAGUCAUCAUGGCCCUUACGGCCUGGGCUACACACGUGCUACAAUGGUCGGUACAAAGGGUUGCCAAGCCGCGAGGUGGAGCUAAUCCCAUAAAACCGAUCGUAGUCCGGAUCGCAGUCUGCAACUCGACUGCGUGAAGUCGGAAUCGCUAGUAAUCGUGAAUCAGAAUGUCACGGUGAAUACGUUCCCGGGCCUU
Molecule: ribosomal RNA, 320 nt
Filed under: uncultured Pseudomonas sp.
Lineage: Bacteria; Pseudomonadati; Pseudomonadota; Gammaproteobacteria; Pseudomonadales; Pseudomonadaceae
Description: bacterial SSU rRNA
Rfam family: Bacterial small subunit ribosomal RNA
Source: RNAcentral